GGGGAAUAUUGCACAAUGGGGGAAACCCUGAUGCAGCAACGCCGCGUGAGUGAUGAAGGCCUUCGGGUUGUAAAGCUCUGUCUUUGGGGACGAUAAUGACGGUACCCAAGGAGGAAGCCACGGCUAACUACGUGCCAGCAGCCGCGGUAAUACGUAGGUGGCAAGCGUUGUCCGGAUUUACUGGGCGUAAAGGAUGCGUAGGCGGAUAUUUAAGUGAGAUGUGAAAUACCCGGGCUCAACUUGGGUGCUGCAUUUCAAACUGGAUAUCUAGAGUGCAGGAGAGGAAAGUGGAAUUCCUAGUGUAGCGGUGAAAUGCGUAGAGAUUAGGAAGAACAUCAGUGGCGAAGGCGACUUUCUGGACUGUAACUGACGCUGAGGCAUGAAAGCGUGGGGAGCAAAC
RNAcentral lists this ribosomal RNA (400 nucleotides) under uncultured bacterium. RNAcentral's name for it is "bacterial SSU rRNA". It matches the Rfam family "Bacterial small subunit ribosomal RNA", at positions 356 to 773 of the family's 1533-position model. The record is from RNAcentral.